CAAGUACGUCCCAUCGAGGCCCCUGCGCUCUGUCAAAGACCUACGUCUAUCCUCUGUCCAUACUCCCACCUCUGAUGCUCGCCUCCAAGAUUUCUCCAGGGCUGCACCUCUUCUGUGGAACUCCCUUCCAUUCUCCGUAAGACUUUCACCCAUUCUCCACUCAUUAAAAAAAUUAUUGAAAACUCACUUUUUCAAGAAAGC
This is a non-coding RNA of Pelobates cultripes (western spadefoot toad), 201 nucleotides long. The record is from the annotation of a GenBank genome assembly. NCBI's taxonomy places the organism in Eukaryota, Metazoa, Chordata, Amphibia, Anura, Pelobatidae.